CGCUGGCGGCGUGCAUAACACAUGCAAGUCGAACGAUGAAACUUAACUGAUUUCUUCGGAAUGAUUUUAAGUGGAUUAGUGGCGGACGGGUGAGUAACGCGUGAGUAACCUGCCUUGCACAAGGGGAUAGCCGUUGGAAACGACGAAUAAUACCCUAUGAUAUAAACUCUUCGCAUGAAGGGCUUAUCAAAGAUUUAUCGGUGUAAGAUGGACUCGCGUCUGAUUAGCUAGUUGGUGGGAUAAAAGCCUACCAAGGCAACGAUCAGUAGCCGGCUUGAGAGAGUGUACGGCCACAUUGGGACUGAGACACGGCCCAGACUCCUACGGGAGGCAGCAGUGGGGAAUUUUGCACAAUGGGGGCAACCCUGAUGCAGCGACGCCGCGUGAUUUAGAAGGCCUUCGGGUUGUAAAAAUCUUUUGUAUGGGAAGAAAAUGACAGUACCAUACGAAUAAGGACCGGCUAAUUACGUGCCAGCAGCCGCGGUAAUACGUAAGGUCCGAGCGUUGUCCGGAAUCAUUGGGCGUAAAGGGUACGUAGGCGGAUAAGCAAGUUAGAAGUGAAAUCCUAUAGCUCAACUAUAGUAAGCUUUUAAAACUGCUCAUCUUGAGGUAUGGAAGGGAAAGUGGAAUUCCUAGUGUAGCGGUGAAAUGCGCAGAUAUUAGGAGGAAUACCGGUGGCGAAGGCGACUUUCUGGCCAUAAACUGACGCUGAGGUACGAAAGCGUGGGUAGCAAACAGGAUUAGAUACCCUGGUAGUCCACGCCGUAAACGAUGAGUGUUAGGUGUCUGGAAUAAUCUGGGUGCCGCAGCUAACGCAAUAAACACUCCGCCUGGGGAGUACGCACGCAAGUGUG
This 854-nucleotide ribosomal RNA is filed under the name uncultured Clostridia bacterium. RNAcentral describes it as "bacterial SSU rRNA". It matches the Rfam family "Bacterial small subunit ribosomal RNA", at positions 34 to 896 of the family's 1533-position model. Lineage: Bacteria; Bacillati; Bacillota; Clostridia. The record is from RNAcentral.